RNAcentral lists this ribosomal RNA (588 nucleotides) under Colidextribacter sp. OB.20. Its description in RNAcentral is "Bacterial small subunit ribosomal RNA". It matches the Rfam family "Bacterial small subunit ribosomal RNA", at positions 807 to 1395 of the family's 1533-position model. The record is from Rfam by way of RNAcentral. Lineage: Bacteria; Bacillati; Bacillota; Clostridia; Eubacteriales.
CGAUGAGUGCUAGGUGUUGGAUCCUUUCCGGGAUUCAGUGCCGCAGCUAACGCAUUAAGCACUCCGCCUGGGGAGUACGACCGCAAGGUUGAAACUCAAAGGAAUUGACGGGGGCCCGCACAAGCGGUGGAGCAUGUGGUUUAAUUCGAAGCAACGCGAAGAACCUUACCAGGUCUUGACAUACUCGUGCUAUCCUUAGAGAUAAGGAGUUCCUUCGGGACACGGGAUACAGGUGGUGCAUGGUUGUCGUCAGCUCGUGUCGUGAGAUGUUGGGUUAAGUCCCGCAACGAGCGCAACCCUUAUUACUAGUUGCCAUCAUUAAGUUGGGCACUCUAGUGAGACUGCCGGUGAUAAACCGGAGGAAGGUGGGGAUGACGUCAAAUCAUCAUGCCCCUUAUGACCUGGGCUACACACGUGCUACAAUGGAUGGUACAACGAGUCGCCAACCCGCGAGGGUGCGCUAAUCUCUUAAAACCAUUCUCAGUUCGGAUUGCAGGCUGCAACUCGCCUGCAUGAAGUCGGAAUCGCUAGUAAUCGCGGAUCAGCACGCCGCGGUGAAUACGUUCCCGGGCCUUGUACACACCGCCC